This 3416-nucleotide long non-coding RNA is filed under the name Cucumis sativus (cucumber). Its description in RNAcentral is "long non-coding RNA (CSAT_LNC000135)". The record is from RNAcentral. Lineage: Eukaryota; Viridiplantae; Streptophyta; Magnoliopsida; Cucurbitales; Cucurbitaceae.
UCUGACAAGUCGCUCUUAGCAUCUCAGUUACUUGGCGUUCAUUCAAUUUUUUGGUAUAUCUCUGCCCAGCAACAAUCUUACAAACCUACAACAACAAUAGCAAUUGGUAAGGAAAAGCCUAAUCAAUACUAUCUUCAAAUAAUCAUUGAAUCAAGGAUACUUUAAAUCACGAAUAAUCAUAUCAAACAUACAUACCUCCAUAGGCAAAUAAACCGGCUUGGCAUCAUUACCAGCUUGUAUAGCUGGUAGAAAUGGAUAUUUGAGUGCCACGCCAUAUUUUUCAUGAAAGUACUGUGCAACAGAGAUUCGGGUUUUCUGAUCAUCCAGAGUAAACCUUAAAAUAAACCAAGAAUAGCAAUAAAUUUAAAAAGUCAAAACAAAUUGUCAUUCAUGCCUUGCUAGCCACUACCAAACUCAAUUUUAAUAAUUAAGAAAACAAAAACCUUCAAAGCUAAUUUCAGAUUCUUCUAAAUACAAAAGCAUGACAUGUAAGAGCAAGAUAAGAGAAACAAGGCUGGAACCAAAGCCACUUACAACAUAGACAAGAACAAUAAACACCAAAAUGACUAGUUGAUACUGCUUCUGAUUCCAAAAAAAAUCCCUAAAAAAUCAAGAAACUACCACAACAAAAGAUCCAAAGAAACAAACUAAAAAUACAACAAAAAUCAAUGUUCAACAAAAUUACCCAAAAGUCAAAACGUUCUGGUUAGGCACAAUUUUGAAAAACAAUUGACCAACUGCAAUUAUGGUUCAAACCAAUCUUUGUGUUUGCAAAGGAGGAGUUUAAACAAUGUUCUGCAUUAGAUACUAAAUUUUAUUAAUCAUCCUGAAGCAUAAACAAUCAUUCUUUCAAUAUUUCUAAACAAAAAAACAUAGUGACCACAUACAAAUCUGCAGUACCCCAAGAAAAAUAAAUUACUGUUCCUCCCUUGUUCAGAUGACAGUUCUUUUCUAACAAUAUGUAAGAGGUAAUAUCUACUUCAUGCAUAUACUUAAAAAAGGUCUUAAAUCUAAAAGAAAUUCCACCCUUAUAAACUUCAAAUGCAUUUCUGAAGCUAGCUCCAAAGGAAUUUAGAGAAGCAGAAAAAUAAACUCACAUUAAUCUAUUAACAGGCUCUGAUGAUAUCCCAGUAAUCUUGUAGGUCCUGGCAUGCUCCCUACACGUUAAUCCAACCUUCACUCCUCUAAGUACCUUUUUGAUCUGAUAUUAAGCAAAAAAAAAAUAGUUGUUACAUAUACGUAAAACAUAAAUACUACAAUUCUCAGGAUAAAAAAUUUCUGCACUUCAAAACCCAUAAACAUGACAUGUGCAUAUAUUAAUGACAGUUUGAAUAACCUUGCGACAAUCCUGAUCAGACAUUGGCUUUGAGAGAUUCCUUAGGUUGAAGUGUUUAACAACAUAUUCUGUCACACUGAUUGGUUCAUAAAAUGAUCUAGCUGACACAUCUGCAAUACAGACCCAUAAAUGUUAAAAAGAACAGCAAUUCAGAAUCGAUGAAUAAUUCAAAAGUGGUACCUAUAUUUAAAGAUAAACCCAUUUGUACAGGUCGUAGACUUUGGUAAUAUCCCCUCCAAUACUCAACACCAUUACCAAGUUCACCUGGCUGCCCCAGUUCAUGCGAGAAAAAUGACCUUCCAACAACUGUGUAACUGGAAUAAAAAAUGGUUAUCAUUUCCACCCAUGAACUAAUACUAUAUACAGUACUAAAGAGUUUCAAAUAAACUAACUCGACAGAUGGUUUUGUUCUCAAAACAACAUCAAGAACUUGUAUAGUCUCCUGUGGUGCAUCUCGCUGCUGUCUAUGUAUAAACUGUUGUAGAUGAUGGAGGUCUGGUUUGGAGGCAAAUUUGAUAGAUACUUUGAACUCUCGUUCUUUCCUGUAGAAUGAAUCACAGAUAAACUAAACGUUGAUAGUUCAAACAUAGGCAGAUACAUGAGUGGUAGGGAUAUACCUUGUUGGUUGAGAAGACCCAGCACCAUCUUUACGGACUAAUUUAAUCAUGAACUCUUUGGACGAAAAUGGAAGUUGACCAGCAGCAUAAACACUUUUUCCUCCAUCAUAUGCUAGAUAUCUUCCACCUAAAUGAGAUUCUCUAUACGUAUUUGCAAGCUGGUUUACUAUAUCUCGGCAGACCUUUUUGGAUGUAACCUCAGGUGUGAUUGAAACCUAAAAUCACAAAUAAAACUACAUUUACUGCUCUAUCAUUCGCAAAAAUACAAGAAUACUCCCAUAGCAUAGACAAACAAAUGACUACCAAAGAAUUUCAGAUUUUACCCAGAAGAUCAAAUGCGGAUUACAAAAGUCAUUCACAGAACAGGUUAUAUCGAAACUAAUUUAACAGUUCAUUCAGACGAAAAUGGAAAAUGAAUAGCAACAUAAACAUUCUUUACACUGUCUGAUGCUAAAACCGUUCCAACUACACGAGAUUCUGCAUACAUUUCUGUAAACUCGUAACAUCAGGUGUCAUAGAAUUCUAACACCACAAAUAAAAUCAAACAUAUAAAAUGCUCUGGACACUAAAUUACUAAGGGCACUCCCAAACCAGUGCCUAAUGUUAUCUACAAUUUCAAGAUGAUAUUUCAAAAUAUCAAAUGAGAUACCAAAAAUUGUACAGAAAAAAGUUUCGUCCGUAUGUUAAAUGCAUACAAUACAUCAAAAGCACGCCAAGGAUGUAGCCAUUAAGAGCAAAAGAAGAAGAAAAACUACGAGCCAACCGUAAUAGUGAAGUAGAUGAUCCAUAAGAUUAAAAGAAACUGACCUAUAGAAGUAUCCAGCACCAGAUAUAGAAGAGAAAAUGUUGUACAAAGGAAAACACGCUUACAUCGUAAUGGUGGAGAUCUUUGUCUGCAACUUGAACCAGGAAAUGAUUGGCACGAACAACAACUUUUCGACCAGCGGUUCCAUAUCCCGGCCUCUUCGCCACAGUCAAGUCUUUCGAUGAAGACGGCGGAACGUUCUGCGGCGUCAGUGUCACCUUCUCCACUUGUGCUUCGAUCUGAGAAACCUCAGGCUGUAAGAGCGUAGCAGUUCCCGAUGAGGAAGCAGAAGAUGCUCCCGUUGACGUCUGGGGAGGAGGAGCGGAAGCAACCGGAGUAGGCCGAGGAGGAGGAGAAACAAUCGGAGUAGGCUGAUGAGUCGGAGAAUGGAAUUGCUGAGUGGCUGGAUAACCUACCCUGCCUCCAUCUCUCCCUCCACCCCCUCGUCCGCCUCGUCCACCUCUUCCACCGCGAGAUAUAGCCGGAGAGGGCUGUCCACCACGACCACCCGAACCACGACCACCACCGCCGCCACUACCGCCCCCGCCUCGGCGAGACAUUUUGCUUGAAAUUUUCGACGAAGGAAAUGGAAGAAAUGAGAGGUAUGUUGAAAGCGAGUGGGUUUACAGUGGGUACGUGUGUGUUUAUAUAGAAACAG